CUGACUCAGCCAUUAAAGCAAUUUUCCCUGGACGGUCUUCACCAAAUGACUGGGAAAUAAAAUGUCAUGGAAUUGAGACCACCCAUAUACCCCCAGCCCACUAUAAGGGGAGAAGAAAGCUAGCAGCAAAUGAAAAUGGAAGCAGAGGGAAGAAGCCAUACCAUCACCCUUGUUCCUCCAUCUGGAGGCAGAAUAGAUGCUGCUCGUGCCAUCGCUGUUGAAUUAGUUUAUGAAGGACACCUCCUGUGAGGUUAAAUAGCAACUGUGGGCUGCCAUCACAUGUUGUACUAAAUCCUCUUCUGCCCUUUCUGUUCUAUAACUCAACAAAUGGUAAACACUCCUCUAGUGAGUGCCAAAGAAGGGAGCAAUAACUACCGAGCAGGCAUCUCAGGUCACCUGGGGACACACCAAUAGCUGUGCCUAAUGAUCAGAUCAGAAAGCCCAAUUAAACUCCAGAGAGUUCCUUUGAGCAAUCACUGACAGGGCAUUGACUUCUGUAUGGCCUCAGCAAUGCAGAGCACCUGGAAAAGGGCUCAUUAGCUACAGGAAGCCUCUUUCACCGUUCGACUGCAGCUCCAACUCAGAAACAUGAAACUCUUGGCAGGUAGCUCUGUCAGCAGCUCAGGGGAAUCUUUCCUUUGGUUUCAGUUCAUAAUAUUUGGCAACGUCUGCAGUCACCUGUGAAGAAGCUAAAAAUCCACGGUAAGAGGCAGCCAACUCACCCGUUCAUAAUCGUUACAGGGUUGUGGAUUACAGUAGUUUGGGGCUCCUGAGUGAGAACAAAAUAGAGAAAGAAACAGUUCGC
RNAcentral lists this long non-coding RNA (805 nucleotides) under Homo sapiens (human). RNAcentral describes it as "HSALNT0076386". Lineage: Eukaryota; Metazoa; Chordata; Mammalia; Primates; Hominidae. The record is from RNAcentral.